CCCUUAGAUGUUCUGGGCCGCACGCGUGCUACACUGAUGCAUUCAACGAGUCUAAAACCUGGUCUGAUAGGGCUGGGUAAUCUUUUGAAAGUGCAUCGUGAUUGGGAUAGAUGAUUGCAAUUCUUCAUCUUCAACGAGGAAUGCCUAGUAAACGCAAGUCGUCAGCUUGCAUUGAUUACGUCCCUGCCCUUUGUACACACCGCCCGUCGCUCCUACCGAUUGAAUGAUCCGAUGAAUACCAUGGAUUGAGAGUACGAAUAGGUUCGCUUAUUUCUGCUGCUCGAGAAGUGGAGUAAAUCUUAUCAUUUAGAGGAAGGAGAAGUCGUAACA
RNAcentral lists this ribosomal RNA (330 nucleotides) under uncultured eukaryote. Its description in RNAcentral is "partial 18S ribosomal RNA". It matches the Rfam family "Eukaryotic small subunit ribosomal RNA", at positions 1470 to 1796 of the family's 1831-position model. The record is from RNAcentral.